UACAUUUAAAAUUUCAAUAACUUAUUCCAAUGCUUAAAAGAUGCAUAACUUUACUUGCUUUUCCCUUUCCCUGAUAAUGUUUCUAGCUUAAGAAGCUCUUACUGGCACCAGCCAACACUCAGCUAAGUUAUAAUGAAUGCAGUGGUCUCAGUACCCAGAACCAUGCAAAUCACAAUCACAGGAUCAGAACAAACCCUGCAAUUGUUAAGACUGAGAAUUCAUGGAGCAAUAAAGCGAAGAGUAUUUGUCAACAGCAAAAGCCACAAAGACGUCCCUGCUCGGAGCUUCUCAAAUAUCUGACCACAAACGAUGACCCUCCUCACA
RNAcentral lists this long non-coding RNA (324 nucleotides) under Homo sapiens (human). RNAcentral describes it as "non-protein coding lnc-PPARGC1A-4:9". Lineage: Eukaryota; Metazoa; Chordata; Mammalia; Primates; Hominidae. The record is from RNAcentral.